This 465-nucleotide ribosomal RNA is filed under the name uncultured bacterium. Its description in RNAcentral is "partial 16S ribosomal RNA". It matches the Rfam family "Bacterial small subunit ribosomal RNA", at positions 28 to 506 of the family's 1533-position model. The record is from RNAcentral.
GACGAACGCUGGCGGCGUGCUUAACACAUGCAAGUCGAACGGAAAGGCCCUGCUUGCAGGGUACUCGAGUGGCGAACGGGUGAGUAACACGUGGGUGCUCUGCCCUGCACUUCGGGAUAAGCUUGGGAAACUGGGUCUAAUACCGGAUAGGAACCAUCUUUAGUGUGGUGGUUGGAAAGUUUUUUCGGUGUAGGAUGAGCUCGCGGCCUAACAGCUUGUUGGUGGGGUAAUGGCCUACCAAGGCGGCGACGGGUAGCCGGCCUGAGAGGGUGUACGGCCACCUUGGGACUGAGAUACGGCCCAGACUCCGACGGGAGGAAGAAGUGGGGAAUAUUGCACAAUGGGCGCAAGCCGGAUGCAGAGACGCCGCGUGGGGGAUGAAGGCCUUCGGGUUGGAAACUCCUUUCGCUAGGGACGAAGCUUUGUUGUGACGGUACCUAGAUAAGAAGCACCGGCUAACUACGU